This 447-nucleotide ribosomal RNA is filed under the name uncultured bacterium. Its description in RNAcentral is "bacterial SSU rRNA". It matches the Rfam family "Bacterial small subunit ribosomal RNA", at positions 355 to 825 of the family's 1533-position model. The record is from RNAcentral.
UCGGGAAUUUUGGGCAAUGGGCGAAAGCCUGACCCAGCAACGCCGCGUGAAGGAUGAAGUAUUUCGGUAUGUAAACUUCGUAAGAAUAGGAAGAAUAAAUGACGGUACUAUUUGUAAGGUCCGGCUAACUACGUGCCAGCAGCCGCGGUAAUACGUAGGGACCAAGCGUUGUUCGGAUUUACUGGGCGUAAAGGGCGCGUAGGCGGCGUGGUAAGUCAGAUGUGAAAUCCCCGGGCUUAACCUGGGAACUGCAUUUGUGACUGCCAGACUAGAGUGUAGCAGAGGGGGGUAGAAUUCCACGUGUAGCAGUGAAAUGCGUAGAUAUGUGGAGGAAUACCGAUGGCGAAGGCAGCCCCCUGGGCUAACACUGACGCUCAUGCACGAAAGCGUGGGGAGCAAACAGGAUUAGAUACCCAGGUAGUCCCUGAGCGGGCUGGCAAGGCGCAU